CCUACGGGUGGCAGCAGUGAGGAAUAUUGGUCAAUGGCCGAGAGGCUGAACCAGCCAAGUCGCGUGAGGGAAGACGGCCCUACGGGUUGUAAACCUCUUUUGUCGGGGAGCAAAGAGAGUCACGUGUGACCCAUUGAGAGUACCCGAAGAAAAAGCAUCGGCUAACUCCGUGCCAGCAGCCGCGGUAAUACGUAGGUGGCAAGCGUUAUCCGGAUUUACUGGGUGUAAAGGGCGUGUAGGCGGGAGUACAAGUCAGAUGUGAAAACUAUGGGCUCAACCCAUAGCCUGCAUUUGAAACUGGACUUCUUGAGUGCUGGAGAGGCAAGCGGAAUGCCGGGUGUAGCGGUGAAAUGCGUAGAUAUACGGAGGAACACCAGUGGCGAAGGCGGAUUGCUGGACAGUAACUGACGCUGAGGCGCGAAAGCGUGGGGAGCAAACAGGAUUAGAUACCCCAGUAGUC
Molecule: ribosomal RNA, 460 nt
Filed under: uncultured bacterium
Lineage: Bacteria
Description: partial 16S ribosomal RNA
Rfam family: Bacterial small subunit ribosomal RNA
Source: RNAcentral